Molecule: ribosomal RNA, 586 nt
Filed under: uncultured bacterium
Lineage: Bacteria
Description: bacterial SSU rRNA
Rfam family: Bacterial small subunit ribosomal RNA
Source: RNAcentral
CCUACGGGAGGCAGCAGUAGGGAAUCUUCCGCAAUGGACGAAAGUCUGACGGAGCAACGCCGCGUGAACGAUGAAGGCCUUCGGGUCGUAAAGUUCUGUUGUUAGGGAAGAACAAGUGCUAGUUGAAUAAGCUGGCACCUUGACGGUACCUAACCAGAAAGCCACGGCUAACUACGUGCCAGCAGCCGCGGUAAUACGUAGGUGGCAAGCGUUGUCCGGAAUUAUUGGGCGUAAAGCGCGCGCAGGCGGUUUCUUAAGUCUGAUGUGAAAGCCCCCGGCUCAACCGGGGAGGGUCAUUGGAAACUGGGAAACUUGAGUGCAGAAGAGGAAAGUGGAAUUCCAAGUGUAGCGGUGAAAUGCGUAGAGAUUUGGAGGAACACCAGUGGCGAAGGCGACUUUCUGGUCUGUAACUGACGCUGAGGCGCGAAAGCGUGGGGAGCAAACAGGAUUAGAUACCCUGGUAGUCCACGCUGUAAACGAUGAGUGCUAAGUGUUAGAGGGUUUCCGCCCUUUAGUGCUGAAGUUAACGCAUUAAGCACUCCGCCUGGGGAUACGGUCGCAAGACUGAAACUUAANGAAUUGACGG